RNA transcript from Salarias fasciatus (jewelled blenny), 1922 nucleotides. It is a transcript of the gene named centrosomal protein 15, with no coding region annotated. The record is from RefSeq and is a predicted model, not a curated record. Lineage: Eukaryota; Metazoa; Chordata; Actinopteri; Blenniiformes; Blenniidae. The transcript has 5 exons.
GAGAGAGAGACGGGCAGAAGGAAGGAAGGACAGAAUUUUUUCCAAACAAUGUCUGAAUUUUCAGCUGAAGAAACGGAUCUAAUGGAAAGACACGAGCACAUCACAUCUGUCCCGGGCUGUGUGUCCUCAGUCUGAGCCGCAGGGCUGAGCUGCUGCAGAGGAUGGAGGCUGGCCAGGAGCCGCUGACCGGCCAUCGGAAGCAACAGGAGAAGGAGGCUGAGGCUGCUCGGCACAGGAACACUCUGCUGCUGCAGGAUUUACAGCAGCUGGAGGACCGGCUGAGAGGAAGGCAGCUUCCAGCCCCCAGUCUGCUGGCCAUGGAGACCAGAUAUUGGGCAUCAGUGGAGGAGUCGGUCCCUUCCUGGGAGCACUUCCUGCUGGGGAAAGGUCCACAUCCUGCAGACGGCCACGGACCAUGUCCAGCUCGGAGAGGGAGCGCCGCUAAAGACCGCGGGCUGCCGCCGCUCCCCACGCACAGGCCUGCCAGAUGAGGCUCAGGAGAAUGCAUCCUGGCCAGGCUGUACUCCAGGCCCAGGUCCAGGUCCAGGUCCAGGUCCAGGUCCAGGUCCAGGGCCUCAUGGCCUGAGAGGACCAAGUCAGAUGUAUAUCCUACUCACUGAUUUACACCAAAUAUUAAAGUUUUGUGCUCAACUUUAUGCCCGUUCGUCCUCGUCUUCUUCUGACUGGAUGAGUUGAGACAUGAAGCUGGAACAGAAACGUGAGACUUCACUAUAAUCAAGAGAAAAAGGGUUUCCCAGCACACACCACCGCUGCUGAAGGUUCACAAAGUCUUUCUAGACGGUGUAUUUCGUUGCUUCAGAAGUCCCGUUGGCUGUACGUGAUGAGAGACGUCCGUCCGUCCACACUGCAAAGGACACAUGAGGACCGGGGGACGGAACCACGGGACAUCCAGACCUUCGUGGCCCUGGACGGAGGAGCUGCAGCAGCGUUGUGAGCCCUCCUUCAUGUUGCAGUGUUGUAUUCUCACCAGCAGAGGGAGCUACCAUGCUGGGCCUGGUUUCGUCCACCUCCAGCAGGGCUGGAGAGGUUCUGAGUUGAUGGGCUGGUCAGAGGCACAGAUCUGUCUCAUCAGCUUUGGCUGUACUUCCCCUUGCUGUUAGCUGGACGUCAGACAAACUGAAAUGAAGUUUUGGAUCUUUGUUUCCUUUCUUCUGGUGCAUCUGUCUGUAAAUACUUCUGGAUAAUGAAUCUGGAGUCGGGCUGUCAGAAGAAUGAUUUUUAAUUAGGAUUAAUCACAGGGUUUUCAUCGUUAAUUGCACUUUGGAAUACAUGUUUAAAACUCUGUUUUGCAUUUCAAGGCAGUUUCCAGCCCAGAAUGUGAGGCUUCCAUCAGUCCAGUCAAUUCGCAGCUCAUCGCUUCAAUGUAAGUGAACUGUUGGGAUUUAUCAUGUAACGUUCUGCUCUUCGUAGUGUCACAUCAGCACAGCCAGUGUCGGAGUCCUGUUGACACUCCUCUGUGUGGCCCAGUAUUACAGCUUCCCUCUGAGAAUGGACACCAACACAACAACACGUUGAGUCUGCUCUUUGACACCUCAGACUUUAUUUAACGUGGAGAAUUUGCUGUAUGGAGCGACCGAUUUCCUACCAGAGCGUCUUGCUUGGUUUUCUUUCAAAGUGUCAUGUAAACCAAGAUAACACAGCGUCUAUGUUAAAAAUACAGUUUUCAAAAUGAUCAAGCUCUAACUGCAACCAUCUGCAGAAAAAUCAUCCUUCAUCAGCCCUGCACUGAUUAGUCUUACAUUAAAGCAGUUAAUUCUGAUAGUCCUAAUCCAUACCAGGAAUGUUGUUGAUGUCAGUGUCGUGAUCUAAAGUGAAAUCCACAAGAUUCAGCUGAUGCUAGUUCUUUGUUUUAAAGUGAUUGUUUGAAGCUGAGAGAGACUUUGUUGCAUCAGAAGAAAAUA